This 342-nucleotide ribosomal RNA is filed under the name Aegilops tauschii subsp. strangulata. Its description in RNAcentral is "rRNA LSU_rRNA_eukarya". It matches the Rfam family "Eukaryotic large subunit ribosomal RNA", at positions 24 to 251 of the family's 3401-position model. Lineage: Eukaryota; Viridiplantae; Streptophyta; Magnoliopsida; Poales; Poaceae. The record is from RNAcentral.
GCCGCUGAGUUUAAGCAUAUAAAUAAGCGGAGGAGAAGGAACUUACAAGGAUUCCCCUAGUAACGGUGAGCGAACCCGGAGCAGCCCAACUCGAGAAUCAGGCGUCUGUGCCGUCCGAAUUGUAGUCUGGAGAGGCGUCCUCGGCGACGGACCGGGCCCGAGUCCCCUGGAAAGGGGUGCCUGGGAGGGUGAACUGAAGCGAACUAGGCAAACUUGAGUAUCAUGCUUACUAGUGGUAAUAUCAUACUAGCAUUCAUUUUGGCUUUCAGAGUACUUAGCACGACAGUAUGGCACUCUCCUAUGCUUCCUAUAUAGCAUCACACAGAAAGUGAAUACCGGAGG